Molecule: microRNA precursor, 94 nt
Filed under: Erinaceus europaeus (western European hedgehog)
Lineage: Eukaryota; Metazoa; Chordata; Mammalia; Eulipotyphla; Erinaceidae
Description: miRNA (ENSEEUG00000019457.1)
Source: RNAcentral
UGUGUGUGUGUGUGUGUGUGUGUGUGUGUGUGUGUGUGUGUGUGCGCGCGCGUGCAUGCGUGCAUGCGCGCAGACACACACACCAUCAAUUAGG